Molecule: ribosomal RNA, 264 nt
Filed under: Diversispora epigaea
Lineage: Eukaryota; Fungi; Glomeromycota; Glomeromycetes; Diversisporales; Diversisporaceae
Source: RNAcentral
CAGUCGCGUUCUCUGGGAUUCAGCCUUGCUUUUGCUUGGUGCAUUUCCUAGUCUACGGGCCAGCAUGGAUUUCGAUCGGUGGAAAAGGGUUGGGGGAAUGUGGCACCUCCGGGUGUGUUAUAGCCUCUUGCUGAAUACGGAUUGCGAGACCGAGGGACGCAGCGCGCCGUAAGGCAAAAGCUUCGGCUUUUUCGCGUCUUAGGAUGUUGGUGAAAUGGCUUUAAACGACCCGUUCUUGAAACACGAACCAAGGAGUCUAACAUA